This 253-nucleotide ribosomal RNA is filed under the name uncultured bacterium. Its description in RNAcentral is "partial 16S ribosomal RNA". It matches the Rfam family "Bacterial small subunit ribosomal RNA", at positions 524 to 776 of the family's 1533-position model. The record is from RNAcentral.
UACAGAGGGUGCAAGCGUUAAUCGGAAUUACUGGGCGUAAAGCGCGCGUAGGUGGUUUGUUAAGUUGAAUGUGGAAUCCCCGGGCUCAACCUGGGAACUGCAUCCAAAACUGGCAAGCUAGAGUAUGGUAGAGGGUAGUGGAAUUUCCUGUGUAGCGGUGAAAUGCGUAGAUAUAGGAAGGAACACCAGUGGCGAAGGCGACUACCUGGACUGAUACUGACACUGAGGUGCGAAAGCUAGGGGAGCAAAUGGG